CAGUCUUUGCGAUGCCCAGCAACCCCUGAACCCCGACGGCCACAGGCGACACCCUGAACCUCUUUCAGGCGCGGAGUACGCCCUCCGUCGGCGUCCGCGGCUGCGACACCAUCGUCCUCGGCGCCAACAAGAAGGCCACCGCCAAAGCUCCAAUACUCCAGAUGUUGCCCUUCAUGUCGCUCAAAAGGGGAAGGUUGCUAACUUGCAGGCAAAUGUUCUUGUAUGGUGUGAACCCAUGCUAUUCCUCUUAUCACUUCUCAGAAUAUGUAUUGAAGAUCUGCAAUGUGUUUUGAUCAUGAUAGUUCCAACAACUUGUACUUGUGUUUAGGGGCCUUGCUAGUCUGUUUGAGUAUAUUUCAUUUCAUUUUUACAGGGAUGCGAGUAUUGGAUUGCCAUUUGUCUGUUCUUGCGGGUAAAUCUGUAAAUGUUAAAAAAAAAAUACAUAGGAAAAGGUCCUAAAAAUGCAGGACAAUUAGGCUUUGCAAGACAAUUAACUUCUGGUUUGCAUUCUGUGUUAGAAGGAGAUUUGAGUUAUGCAACUUGGUAGCUUCAUCUUCUGUGUAUAUUUUGUGAUAUCUCAACACCUCUUAUAUUUAUAGCUAUGUACUUGGUUUGCCUUUUUUUUUUUUCACUACGGGUAUCUUCUAUUUACCUUUGCCUGGCCUUGGGCUGUCUCCUCUUCGGUUUUGGAAGGUUUGAUUGUAUUCACUUGAAGCCGAGCUGUUUCGCUUCAGUUUUAAUUUUUUUUUUUUGAUGUGAUCUUUAAAAAUUUCAGUCAGACAUUUUGUACACAUAGUCUCAUCUGGUUUUGUUUUCAUGUUUGCUUUUAAUUCUAACUUAAUUUAUAUCCUAUUCAAUCUUAAAUUGCUGAGCUUUGCAUCUAGUAUAUCACUUGAUGCCUGCUACUCUGUUGUUUCCUUAAUAUUAUAUUUUUCCUUAAUGCACUCUCCAGCUGUUUAUGAAAGCGUGGGUUGGUGUGCUGGUCCAUGAUGUGUGAUAUGUAAUGUGUGCCCAUGUAUUCUCUGACACGUUUCAUGUUGCCCGUACCGGCUUAUAUAGAAAGUUUGAUCUGGUAGGUGUGGACUAGUUUGGGCUGGCACUGGGCUAUACAAGGAUUCCAAAACCCUUUAUUUGGGUUCAUUUUCAUUUUCAUUUUGACACAAGAGAGGGAGGAGGGAUAAUUUUAUACCAAAUUUUAUUAUUCUAAUUGACUGGAGAUGUGCUAUCAUGACCCGAUACAUAUAGCUAUUAAUUGCCUAUACAACAAUAAUGUAGAACGAAAGAUAAAAGAGUACACUGCCUAAUAUAAAGAAAAUAAAUAAUGAACUUAUGGUGUCAUUGUAUUUCGGAGUUCUCUUUGGUUAAACAUAGUAGCAAUUCUAAUUUUAAGACAUGUAAUUUUAGUAUUUGGAUUAUGUUAUAGAAUUAAAUUACGUGUCUCUUUCAUUCUGUUAUAAAAUGCAAAUGCUAAUAUUGUGAUCUUUUAGAGUUACCUCUUCAUAAUAUUCUACUUAAGAACAAUAUGAUGUUAUUAGUGCUGCAUGGUUUUCUUUCACAAAACCUGGCAUUGUAAAUCCAUGUUUUCUUUCAUUUUAAAAUAGGUAUGAUGCUAGCAGUGUUGUGUUUUGAUUAUAUUUUGUGAUUACUUGAGCUUGGCUCAUCUACUUGUCAUUAUGUUAUUUUCUGUGGAUAAUGUGAUUUAGUCUCUUUGGACCAAUGAUAUUAUUAUUAUAUUUCAUUUUGGGCUGUUUCAACCUUCCCUGCUGUAAAAUUAUACUUGUUUAGCAUCCAUCAUCAUGUCAUGCUGUAAAUACAUGAAAGCUUGAACUUCAUUAACGAAAAGUUUUUUUGUUGCAAUAUUUAUGAAAUAUGGUGAAAUUUAUUCUGACAUUUUAGGAUAGACCCUGAAAGUCUCUCUGAUCAGUGGGUAUGUUGCUCUUCUUGCUACUAAUCCCCGUUAUUUGUGCUUCUGCAUCUAUUUUUCACUCAUUCCGUCUUCCAGAAUUUUCUUUCUGUUUUCUUCCUCUGAUCAACGACAUGCUUGUCUACUUCUUUUGAAGUUUGUAUGUUCUGUGUUUGUGCAAGGAUUAUAAUGAAAAUAUGCGUAACUGGAAAAUUUUAAUGUAGCGAGUAGGCUUGUGCUUCAUGUAUGUUUGUGCUCCCCAGGGUGGUUAACAACUGGUCAUACAUGGGCACAUGCAACUUUUGUAUCUUGGAAGUCGCAGUGCAGUCUGAAUCUAUGUUUGUGAUUGUUUGAUAUUAGACAAUUUUAAUUCCACCCUAUUAGGGAUUGGGUUUAUAAAUCUAUCUUUAUAUUUGUUCCUAUUAAAACUUGUCAACUAAUGCAUUUUCCAAUCCUCGGAGCUUCUAUUUUUAUUUUUUAUUUUUAGCAUUCCUCCCCUUUCUUGUGGAAAAUUUUGGUUUCCUUAUUACCAAAGCCACUCUUUCAGACUUAAUUGCUUCAUUGGAGCCAAAUCAAUAGGUUCUCUCUAGGGGUUUGUAUGUGCGCUUGUGGUCCCACCCAGCCUAUGGUGCAUCCCCCCAUCUUGGGGGCACAGAUCUGGCCGCCAUGGAGAAACGGUGCUAGUAGGUGACAUGGACCACUGUGCCUCUUCUGAAUUACAAGAGAUACAUGUUUAUACAUGGCAAUAAAUUCUUGAUGUAGGCCCACCAUUAAUGGAAAUUUACCAUCCCCAACUUAGUUUAAAGUCUAUUUGGUUUUGAAAAUUCUUCUGAUUUUGAAAAUUCUUCUGUUGUCUUGACAUUUCUUCCAUGAGCCUUGCAUGUUGCAUCACAGUGGGAAGCAAGUAUAUUCCACGAUGGUUGGUGAAAUGGAUUAUCUCCAUUUAUAGCAUGCUUCAAAUGAAACACAUUUGGCUAGCUCGCAUGAACUCUGCUAAAAGUUUCUUGUGAUGCACCUUCUGGGAGGAUCAUCCAUUUGGAAGUUAGGUCUUCAUUGAUUUGGAUUAGACAUGCGUAGCUUGAACCGAGUCCGGUAAAGAUUAUAAUUUCCUUUAAUUUAGAGGGAACAUUUUGUGGUUAACAUCAUUAGUAAACAUGUUUAUCAUUUUCAUUGUCCUAUCAUGGCCUUAGGGUUUUGAUGAAAAACAUUGGUAAGAUUAAUCAACCCAUACUAAUUAGUGGUGUCUAUAGAGACCGCUUUGAUUGUACAGACAUCUAGCUAUGGAACGUCAAGUGAUUAUUAGAAGCAUUAGCAUUUCUUUCAGUUUAGGUUUUUAACAAUGCCCUUCUAAUGAAUGUUCUGGGAGUAAAAGUAUUACCAUCUUCAGUGAGCUCAUCAGUUUGCUCAACAUUAGGCCUAUUUUAUUUUCAUACUGCAUUUCAAGGGACUUAGUAUGGUGGUAGUAACACAUGCUAGCUGUUUUUACUUUUCCCCGGUGCCCCUACCAGGAGAUUGUUUUGUGAAGGAAGAACAAUUGCUUUCGACGGUCAACCCUUAAUUGACCAAGGAUGCUGACAGAUGCUCAUCUGCAUAUGCAUGCCUGUAAUUGUGCCUUUAAAGAGCCAUUUAGCAUUUAUUUUGAUUUCGGCUUAUCACAAGUAUGCUAACAAACCAAAAUCAAUAGAUAUUGCUAAAUUUUCCUUGCAUUUAAUAUAUCAUGAGGUUUUGACCUUGUAACUUCUGCAUUCUUUGUUAUGCUUGCUCUUCGUUUUUUUUCUUUUCAAAUUGAAUGAUGCGUGCACCCACCAGACAUGGCUUCUAUAGCUAAACUUGCUAUCUUAGCAAAACCAUAUCAUUUUCAACCAGAAUGCUUUUCUUUUUCAUUAAUAUGAAGGUUAGCUGUACCUUCUACUACUCUAUCGUAUGUGUGAUUACAAUCUGUGGAUGGAGCUCAACUUUUUCAACGCCUCAUGUCUGAUUAGCUUUCAAAGUCCUUCUGAUUACAAUCUGUGUGACAUGUUAUUGCAUCUAAAAAACUAACAUUUUUCUUUUGUUUUGUUUUCUUUCUUUCUCCUUUUCCUCUCUCUCAAAACGUGGCUGACAGUGGGGAGCAGAAUAUAGAAAUUGCUGCGAUGAUGACGAGAGAACAUGGUCUCUUUUUUUUUGUGGUAGAAGAUAGGAGGGGAGGGGGAGGGACCAACCCACCCGCGUAGCAGCCCCCACUGGGCCCCCCUUCCACCAGGGAAUGUUCGAUACAGGUCGCAGGUUUCGCGUGCCUUCUCCGACCCGUGGGCUCACCCCACUGGGCUCACCGCCACACGUGUGGGUACGUCACCCUAGCGCCACCUUGGUACAAGUGGAAGGAAAGCAUAACCGCCAACAAGACAUCCGGGCGUGGAGCAUCCGGUCCCCUAAUUUAAUCGACGCCCGUGCGUUUCGAACCCGGGCAACUUGGGAGGAAUUAUCGCCCCCUUACCACUAGGCUACCACCUUGGUGGCAGAGAACAUGGUCUUUGGCAGCUUUAAGAAGCUGAUAUUGAUGCCAUUGUUUCGAGAUUGAAGCAGACAUGCCUGCAGCUGAGGCUGCAAAGAAGGGCCCUCCUGAAGAGACCGGAUUUCUCUUGUACUCACACACUUUUUUUUUUUCAAUGAAUUAAUAAAGUUUUCUUGCUCAAUCGCAGUAUUUUCUCC
Phoenix dactylifera (date palm) is the source of this 4594-nucleotide non-coding RNA. The record is from RefSeq and is a predicted model, not a curated record. NCBI's taxonomy places the organism in Eukaryota, Viridiplantae, Streptophyta, Magnoliopsida, Arecales, Arecaceae.